CCAAUAGCGUAUAUUAAAGUUGUUGCAGUUAAAAAGCUCGUAGUUGAAUUUCGGGGUUCUACCGUUGGUCGGGCUAACCAGUCUGUACUAGCGUGUAGAAUUCCUACCUUCUGGGGAACCAUCAUGUUAUUAAUUUAGCGUGGUGGGAAACCAGGACCUUUACCUUGAAAAAAUUAGAGUGUUCAAAGCAGGCUUAUGUCUGAAUACAUUAGCAUGGAAUAAUAGAAUAGGACGGUGGUCCUGUUUUGUUGGUUUCUGAAUCACCGUAAUGAUUAAUAGGGAUAGUUGGGGGCAUUAGUAUUCAAUUGUCAGAGGUGAAAUUCUUGGAUUUAUUGAAGACUAACUUCUGCGAAAGCAUUUGCCAAGGAUGUUUUCAUUAAUCAAGAACGAAAGUUAGGGGAUCGAAGACGAUCAGAUACCGUCGUAGUCUUAACCAUAAACUAUGCCGACUAGGGAUCGGACGAUGUUAAAUUUUAUUGACUCGUUCGGCGCCUUACG
Molecule: ribosomal RNA, 498 nt
Filed under: uncultured Glomeromycotina
Lineage: Eukaryota; Fungi; Glomeromycota
Description: partial small subunit ribosomal RNA
Rfam family: Eukaryotic small subunit ribosomal RNA
Source: RNAcentral